RNAcentral lists this non-coding RNA (157 nucleotides) under uncultured Phascolarctobacterium sp. RNAcentral describes it as "Lysine riboswitch". It matches the Rfam family "Lysine riboswitch aptamer". Rfam says of the family: Riboswitches are metabolite binding domains within certain messenger RNAs that serve as precision sensors for their corresponding targets. Allosteric rearrangement of mRNA structure is mediated by ligand binding, and this results in modulation of gene expression. This family includes riboswitches that sense lysine in a number of genes involved in lysine metabolism, including lysC. The record is from RNAcentral. Lineage: Bacteria; Bacillati; Bacillota; Negativicutes; Acidaminococcales; Acidaminococcaceae.
UAAGAUAGAGGCGCGGAAAGCAAGAGUAAUCUGUGGAGCGGGAGUAAAGAAGCAGGUGAAAGGGCCAACGCCGAAGUGCAAGGGCAGCCGUGCUCUUGUGCUGGGCCGUCAGCGAAAGUUGCCGGACUGUCGCUAGAGUACUAGCGGAGCGCUAUCU